AUGAACGCUGGCGGCGUGCCUAACACAUGCAAGUCGAACGGGACUAUCAAGUGAUGUUUCGGACUGAACUUUUAGUUAGUGGCGGACGGGUGAGUAACGCGUGGACAACCUGCCUCUCACUGGGGGAUAGCAGCUGGAAACGGCUGGUAAUACCGCAUACGUUCAAUGUGCCGCAUGACACAUUGAAGAAAGAUUUAUCGGUGAGAGAUGGGUCCGCGUCUGAUUAGCCAGUUGGCGGGGUAACGGCCCACCAAAGCGACGAUCAGUAGCCGGCCUGAGAGGGCGGACGGCCACAUUGGGACUGAGACACGGCCCAGACUCCUACGGGAGGCAGCAGUGGGGGAUAUUGCACAAUGGGCGCAAGCCUGAUGCAGCGACGCCGCGUGAGUGAAGAAGUAUUUCGGUAUGUAAAGCUCUAUCAGCAGGGAAGAAAGGCCCGCAAGGGAGAUGACGGUACCUGACUAAGAAGCCCCGGCUAACUACGUGCCAGCCGCAGC
Molecule: ribosomal RNA, 497 nt
Filed under: uncultured bacterium
Lineage: Bacteria
Description: bacterial SSU rRNA
Rfam family: Bacterial small subunit ribosomal RNA
Source: RNAcentral